RNA transcript from Myripristis murdjan (pinecone soldierfish), 1906 nucleotides. It is a transcript of the gene named serine protease 59, putative, with no coding region annotated. Lineage: Eukaryota; Metazoa; Chordata; Actinopteri; Holocentriformes; Holocentridae. The transcript is spliced from 10 exons. The record is from RefSeq and is a predicted model, not a curated record.
ACCACAUGGAACUCACCGAGAUAAAUCACAUGCCUGUGUUUCCCCUUUCACUUCAACAUGGCUUUUCAAACGUACGGACUGUUUUGUUUUUACGAAGUGACCUUACUUCUUCUGGUUUCUCUCUGUGGCCUCGGUGAGGGCCAGUUCAAGGGGUUUCGGAAAUUUCAUCAAGGUCAGGUUGCUGUCCGGGGUCCUGUGUUUGAGGAGCAAUGGUUCACUCAGAAACUGGAUCACUUCAAUGGUGCAGACAGCCGAGUCUGGAAACAAAGGUACUUUGUGAAUGAGGCCUUCUCUAAGCCGGGCGGCCCUGUGUUUCUGAUGAUAGGUGGAGAGGGUCCGGCCAACGCAGCAUGGAUGCAGAACGGCACCUGGCUCUCCUACGCCCAGAAACUGGGAGCACUCUGCCUGAUGCUGGAGCACCGCUUUUAUGGCAAGAGUCACCCCACCGAGGACCUGAGCACAGAUAACCUGCGCUUCCUCAGCAGCCGCCAGGCGCUGGCUGACCUGGCUCACUUCCGAACCGUCAUGGCGGAUGCCCUGGCGCUCACCAAGAGGAAGUGGGUGGCAUUCGGCGGCUCGUACCCGGGUUCUCUUGCGGCUUGGUUCAGGCUCAAGUACCCUCACCUGGUCCAUGCUUCUGUGGCCACCAGUGCACCAGUUCAUGCUACAGUCAACUUCCCAGAGUAUUUGGAGGUGGUGUGGCGUUCGCUGGCCUCAGAGAACCCAGAGUGCCCCUUACUGGUGAAAAAGGCUUCAGACACCCUUCUGGAGCGCCUCAAAGACCCGAAGACCUAUGACAAUAUCACCAACGAUUUCAAUCUGUGUUCCAAGUUGCAGAUCCAGACAGAAAUGGACUCUGCCUACCUCCUGGAGAUGCUGGCUGGCAACUUCAUGGAUGUAGUCCAGUACAAUCAAGACAACAGGGAGUUUGAGGGUGUGGUGGGCACCAACAUCACAAUCAAGGUGCUGUGUAGCGUGAUGAGUGACGCCUCACUGGGGGAGCCAUACGCCCGCUAUGCUCGCGUGGCCCGCCUCAUGAUGGACACCUUCUCCAUGAAGUGCCUGGAUGCCAGCUACACCAACUAUCUGAGAGAUAUGACCAACACAUCCUGGGACGGGCCAGCCGCUGGGGGAGGGAGACAGUGGGUUUACCAGACCUGCACUGAAUUUGGAUUCUACCAGAGCACUGAUUCACCCAACCAGCCAUUUAAAGGCUUCCCUCUCCCGACAGCGCAUUCCCUCUGGAAAGACACACCACUAUUCAGCUCUCUGCCAGUAAAAACCAACAGAGACAAAGACCAACAGUGCAGCAGACCUCUUAUCAAGAGGCAGUCCUCACACCACAGAGUGGAACCUUCACCCUCCUGUGGUAUCAGAUCAAACAGUGUGCAGACUUCUACAGUGUCAGUGCUGAGACACUGGCAGAGGCCGUGGCCCAGACUAAUGAGUGCUAUGGCGGCUAUGACAUUCACUCCACCAGAAUAGUUUUCCCCAACGGGUCCAUUGACCCUUGGCACGCCCUGGGAAUCACUCAUGACAUCACACCUGACCUUCCUGCUGUCUUCAUCAAAGGAACAGCCCACUGUGCCAACAUGUACCCUGCUAGGAGCCAGGAUCCUCCCCAACUGGCUCUGGCCCGGGACCACGUCUUCUUACUCCUCCAGCAAUGGCUGAAACAAUGACAGUUGGCUGAACUGGCCAAACAGUGGCACUGACACACAAAACGAUUAGUCUUUUUGUCCAAUUAGUCACAUUGGAAUGUGACCUAUUAUUUUACUGCCAUUGAUGUGGCACCUUGAUAAGGCACUUUAUUUGUGUUUAUGGCAGUACUUCUAAAGUUCUAAGUCCAUUUUUAUGUGUGAGGCAAUUUUGAACUGAUUAAAGGUGGAUUUUUUUUUAAUAUGAA